CGGGAGCAAUCCUGGUGGCGAGUGGCGAACGGGUGAGUAAAGCAUCGGAACGUGCCCAGUCGUGGGGGAUAACGUAGCGAAAGCUACGCUAAUACCGCAUACGAUCUGUGGAUGAAAGCGGGGGACCGUAAGGCCUCGCGCGAUUGGAGCGGCCGAUGUCAGAUUAGGUAGUUGGUGGGGUAAAGGCUCACCAAGCCGACGAUCUGUAGCUGGUCUGAGAGGACGACCAGCCACACUGGGACUGAGACACGGCCCAGACUCCUACGGGAGGCAGCAGUGGGGAAUUUUGGACAAUGGGCGCAAGCCUGAUCCAGCAAUGCCGCGUGCAGGAUGAAGGCCUUCGGGUUGUAAACUGCUUUUGUACGGAGCGAAAAGGCUUCCACUAAUACUGGGGGCUCAUGACGGUACCGUAAGAAUAAGCACCGGCUAACUACGUGCCAGCAGCCGCGGUAAUACGUAGGGUGCAAGCGUUAAUCGGAAUUACUGGGCGUAAAGCGUGCGCAGGCGGUCUUGUAAGACAGGUGUGAAAUCCCCGGGCUUAACCUGGGAACUGCACUUGUGACUGCAAGGCUGGAGUACGGCAGAGGGGGAUGGAAUUCCGCGUGUAGCAGUGAAAUGCGUAGAUAUGCGGAGGAACACCGAUGGCGAAGGCAAUCCCCUGGGCCUGUACUGACGCUCAUGC
RNAcentral lists this ribosomal RNA (682 nucleotides) under uncultured Curvibacter sp. RNAcentral's name for it is "bacterial SSU rRNA". It matches the Rfam family "Bacterial small subunit ribosomal RNA", at positions 74 to 752 of the family's 1533-position model. Lineage: Bacteria; Pseudomonadati; Pseudomonadota; Betaproteobacteria; Burkholderiales; Comamonadaceae. The record is from RNAcentral.